Molecule: long non-coding RNA, 350 nt
Organism: Daphnia pulex (common water flea)
Lineage: Eukaryota; Metazoa; Arthropoda; Branchiopoda; Diplostraca; Daphniidae
Exons: 3
Source: RefSeq, a predicted model, not a curated record
GCGGUGUCAAUGGCUGCACGAAAAAACCGGCAAAAUCACAACAAAAAAUGUGGAAAACAAGAAUGUCUAAUCGUGUCUCGUGUCUCGCCGUACAAGUCGUCUGUGAUAAAAAUUGUUUAUGAAACAUGAUGCUUUUAUACAAGAUUUGAUAUUGAGCUAAUACAAACACCAUCUACGUUAGCAACUAAGGCCAGGUUUGCUUGUGUCUGUAUCAGCCUAUCAGCAGCUGCCUCAGAACCCUCAGUCGGGUGAACCCCAUUAUUUGAUGUUGUGUCCACCGGUGUCGGCCAUUUCUUCCUCACCUUUCUUUACAUUCUCGUGUACGUUCAUGUGAGUGUGAACGUAUUCAC